UAAUAAGGGUGUCCCGUAAAA
RNAcentral lists this non-coding RNA (21 nucleotides) under Caenorhabditis elegans. Lineage: Eukaryota; Metazoa; Nematoda; Chromadorea; Rhabditida; Rhabditidae. The record is from RNAcentral.